AUGACUCUUGGCAACAGAUAUCUCGGCUCUCGCAUCGAUGAAGAACGUAGUAAAAUGCGAUACCUGGUGUGAAUUGUAGAAUCCUGCGAACCAUCGAGUCUUUGAAUGCAAGUUGCGCCCGAGGCCACCUGACCGAGGGCAUGCCUGCCUUGGCGUCACAU
RNAcentral lists this ribosomal RNA (161 nucleotides) under Pinanga aristata. RNAcentral's name for it is "5.8S rRNA". It matches the Rfam family "5.8S ribosomal RNA". Rfam says of the family: 5.8S ribosomal RNA (5.8S rRNA) is a component of the large subunit of the eukaryotic ribosome. The record is from RNAcentral. Lineage: Eukaryota; Viridiplantae; Streptophyta; Magnoliopsida; Arecales; Arecaceae.